GGCGGCGUGCUUAACACAUGCAAGUCGAACGAUGAAGCCCUUCGGGGUGGAUUAGUGGCGAACGGGUGAGUAACACGUGGGCAAUCUGCCCUGCACUCUGGGACAAGCCCUGGAAACGGGGUCUAAUACCGGAUACGACUGUCUCGGGCAUCCGAUGACGGUGGAAAGCUCCGGCGGUGCAGGAUGAGCCCGCGGCCUAUCAGCUUGUUGGUGAGGUAAUGGCUCACCAAGGCGACGACGGGUAGCCGGCCUGAGAGGGCGACCGGCCACACUGGGACUGAGACACGGCCCAGACUCCUACGGGAGGCAGCAGUGGGGAAUAUUGCACAAUGGGCGAAAGCCUGAUGCAGCGACGCCGCGUGAGGGAUGACGGCCUUCGGGUUGUAAACCUCUUUCAGCAGGGAAGAAGCGAGAGUGACGGUACCUGCAGAAGAAGCGCCGGCUAACUACGUGCCAGCAGCCGCGGUAAUACGUAGGGCGCAAGCGUUGUCCGGAAUUAUUGGGCGUAAAGAGCUCGUAGGCGGCUUGUCGCGUCGGUUGUGAAAGCCCGGGGCUUAACCCCGGGUCUGCAGUCGAUACGGGCAGGCUAGAGUUCGGUAGGGGAGAUCGGAAUUCCUGGUGUAGCGGUGAAAUGCGCAGAUAUCAGGAGGAACACCGGUGGCGAAGGCGGAUCUCUGGGCCGAUACUGACGCUGAGGAGCGAAAGCGUGGGGAGCGAACAGGAUUAGAUACCCUGGUAGUCCACGCCGUAAACGGUGGGCACUAGGUGUGGGCAACAUUCCACGUUGUCCGUGCCGCAGCUAACGCAUUAAGUGCCCCGCCUGGGGAGUACGGCCGC
This 837-nucleotide ribosomal RNA is filed under the name Streptomyces sp. IM-6868. RNAcentral describes it as "bacterial SSU rRNA". It matches the Rfam family "Bacterial small subunit ribosomal RNA", at positions 38 to 889 of the family's 1533-position model. The record is from RNAcentral. Lineage: Bacteria; Bacillati; Actinomycetota; Actinomycetes; Kitasatosporales; Streptomycetaceae.